RNAcentral lists this long non-coding RNA (713 nucleotides) under Olea europaea subsp. europaea. Lineage: Eukaryota; Viridiplantae; Streptophyta; Magnoliopsida; Lamiales; Oleaceae. The record is from RNAcentral.
AAUGAAUUUAGGCCACAUAUAUUUCUACAGCUACUCCUUGUUACCAUGUACCCAAAAUUUGAAGUUCUUUCCUGGAUUUUGCUCAAAUUGAUUACAAUAUUCUUGAAAGUUCUAUUCAAUUAUCCCAUUUCAUUUAGCAAAUCACUCAAGAUAAUCAACGUCGACUAUUUCAAAGAGAAUUAAAAAAAAUCAAUAUAGAAUAGUGCAUAAAUAGUCAAACGAAAAGACAAUAAAAAUAAAAAAUAUAUAAAAUACAACAAUGUAAUGCAAAAACCCUGCAUUUUAUGACACCAGAUUAGCAUAAAAUUCAAAAAUCAAUGAUAAUUAUUCGGGUAUCUAUCAUUAUAAAUUAAUUCUUUAUGUCACAUAAUAAAUACGAGUAGUCAAAAACAUAAAAUCAAAUAAGAAACCAGAAAGAAAGUUUACAUAAAGAUUUUACCUAUUUUUCUUUCAUUUUCUUCUCAAUUUUUCAAUUUCUUACCAUGAGCAGACAAAUAGUGUUGGACAUUGGGUUUUGCUUGUUUGUGAGGCACAAGCUAAUGGAAAGAAAGAGAGAGAGAAGGAAGCAUAUGCAGCUGGCCAUUGGAAAGUCCUUGUUCCCACCGAUUAUUUGUAAUUUCUUCUACUAGUCUGCUUCAGUUGUGAACACUUGCUUGUGAUUUUGCUAUCGUUCAGCAUAUCUGCCCUAAACCAUCUCUUCUAGCCGGUAAAAC